Molecule: ribosomal RNA, 468 nt
Filed under: uncultured bacterium
Lineage: Bacteria
Description: partial 16S ribosomal RNA
Rfam family: Bacterial small subunit ribosomal RNA
Source: RNAcentral
GACGAACGCUGGCGGCGUGCUUAACACAUGCAAGUCGAACGGAAAGGCCCUGCUUUUGUGGGGUGCUCGAGUGGCGAAAGGGUGAGUAACACGUGAGUAACCUGCCCUUGACUUUGGGAUAACUUCAGGAAACUGGGGCUAAUACCGGAUAGGAGCUCCUGCUGCAUGGUGGGGGUUGGAAAGUUUCGGCGGUUGGGGAUGGACUCGCGGCUUAUCAGCUUGUUGGUGGGGUAGUGGCUUACCAAGGCUUUGACGGGUAGCCGGCCUGAGAGGGUGACCGGCCACAUUGGGACUGAGAUACGGCCCAGACUCCUACGGGAGGCAGCAGUGGGGAAUAUUGCACAGUGGGCGGAAGCCUGAUGCAGCAACGCCGCGUGCGGGAUGACGGCCUUCGGGUUGUAAACCGCUUUCGCCUGUGACGAAGCGUGAGUGACGGUAAUGGGUAAAGAAGCACCGGCUAACUACGUG